RNAcentral lists this ribosomal RNA (210 nucleotides) under uncultured bacterium. RNAcentral describes it as "partial 16S ribosomal RNA". It matches the Rfam family "Bacterial small subunit ribosomal RNA", at positions 67 to 279 of the family's 1533-position model. The record is from RNAcentral.
CGAUGAAGCCCAGCUUGCUGGGUGUCUUAGUGGCGAACGGGUGAGUAACACGUGAGUAACCUGCCCUUAACUCUGGGAUAAACCUGCGAAACUGGGUCUAAUACCGGAUAGGAGCGUCCACCGCGGUGGGGGGUGUUGGAAAGAUUUAUCGGUUUUGGAUGGACUCACGACCUAUCCCUUGUUGGUGAGGUAAUGGCUCACCAAGGCGAC